This is a long non-coding RNA of Hemicordylus capensis (graceful crag lizard), 349 nucleotides long. RefSeq lists it as uncharacterized. The transcript is spliced from 3 exons. The record is from RefSeq and is a predicted model, not a curated record. Lineage: Eukaryota; Metazoa; Chordata; Lepidosauria; Squamata; Cordylidae.
AGCGGUGCUGUCCUGUUUCUCAAGUGGUGCGGAAAUGCAAAGGUUCCCAAGGUGCCACAAAAACAGCGCUGGCUGCCAGCAAAGAAGGGUCAGCCAUCCCAACUUCACAACAGAUACAUGACUAUUAGAAAUUUUGAAGGCAUCAAGCAAGUACACAAAGCUAACAGCAGAGGUCUCCCUGCAUUGACAGAUUCUGAAGAAAGGUGUUAUCUUGAAUCCCAGAGUGAAACCGCUUUACCCAAAGGCUAUUCCAACUUUCUAUAGCAAAACAUCAAGAGGAACCAAAGUUAUUUAAGCCUUCUGAGAGGAAACAGAGUAUUCUCUCUUCUCUCAAGUAUGAGACCAGAGA